AAGUCGGAAUCCGCUAAGGAGUGUGUAACAACUCACCUGCCGAAUGAAUUAGCCUGAAAAUGGAUGGCGCUGAAGCGGGAUGCCGAUACUCAGCCAUCAAAGCAAAUGCGAAGCUUUGAUGAGUAAGAGGGCGUGAGCACGGUGCAGAAGCCUUUGGCGUGAGCCUGGGUUGAACUGUGUUUAGUGCAGAUCUUGGUGUUAGUAGCAAAUAUUCAAAUGAGAACUUUGAAGACCGACGUGGAGAAGGGUUCCAUGAGAACAGCAUUUGGUCAUGGGUUAUCCGAUCCUAAGGCAUAGGGAAAUUCCUUGUAAUACAAGAGCAAUUUGCUCGUUGCCGAAAGGGAAUGAGGUUAAUAUUCCUCAGACUGGACGUGGAUAUUGUAUGGUAACAUAAGUGAGCCCGGAGACAUCGGUAUGAACUCCUGGAAGAGUUAUCUUUUCUUUUUAACAAUCUAUCGCCCUGAAAUGGGAUUAUCCCGAGCUAGGGCUUUAUGGUUGGCAGAGC
This 505-nucleotide ribosomal RNA is filed under the name uncultured eukaryote. RNAcentral describes it as "eukaryotic LSU rRNA". It matches the Rfam family "Eukaryotic large subunit ribosomal RNA", at positions 1258 to 1764 of the family's 3401-position model. The record is from RNAcentral.